This 22-nucleotide non-coding RNA is filed under the name Arabidopsis thaliana (thale cress). Lineage: Eukaryota; Viridiplantae; Streptophyta; Magnoliopsida; Brassicales; Brassicaceae. The record is from RNAcentral.
GGUAUGGUACUGGUUAUGGUUA